This is an RNA transcript of Cannabis sativa, 851 nucleotides long. RefSeq lists it as uncharacterized. The record is from RefSeq and is a predicted model, not a curated record. NCBI's taxonomy places the organism in Eukaryota, Viridiplantae, Streptophyta, Magnoliopsida, Rosales, Cannabaceae. The transcript is spliced from 4 exons.
AUGUAUAUCAUUAGCAACUAAUGCACAUAGUUCCUUACUUCUCGAACCUAAGAUACCUGCUGAUGAUAUUAUGAAGGACUGGUGUGAAGUGAACAAGGAAUUUUUACUUCAACAAUUAUCUAAAAAUGAUGACUCUUCCUCUUCAUCUGACACACCACCACCACCUGGUGAUUUCAAAGAUCUUUCCACAAUAAAAUCAACCACUAACAAGAGUGACUAUUACUGGGUAAAAGCUUCCAUAGCACUCAUUAAUUUCUAGCAACGAUUUGCUUACAUAGCAUGCAAUAAAUGUAACAUAUCAACUGGUGCUGAGCUUGAAGAGACUUUCGAUUGCAUAAAAGGACAUGAAGGAAAAGGAGUUGGUAGAUCUUGCGUGCAAGUCCAUCUAAAAGACAACACAAAUGCACUACCAGCAACUUUAUUUGGCUCCAUUGCCAUAAGUUCCUUAAUUGCUAUACAGCUCAACUUCUCCAACAAAUAACAGAGAAUGGCAAUGAGGAUAUCAAAAACAUCAUCAAUCCUUGUUCAGAAAAAUAAUACAACAUCAAGCUUAAACCAUCAACAAAAGAAUAUGCUGGAGAGAUGAAGUGCAAAUACAUAGUAGAUGCACUCCAUGAUGUAGAAAGUGGAUAAAGUCACCAACAAAUAUAGCAUUUUGCCUAUAACUAAUAGUCUAUUGGUCUACAUGUAUAUCUUGUUUUUUUAUGUUUUAACUUUAACAAGACCAAUAUCUCAUCCUUUUAUGUUACCUUUUGCAAGAAAUAGUAACUAUCAGGACAUAUAACACACAAUGUAAAUACAGACUGAUGAAGUCACUGACUUCCAUGUUUAUAAAUAAAUUUUCUACUAAU